Molecule: RNA transcript, 1182 nt
Organism: Solanum dulcamara
Lineage: Eukaryota; Viridiplantae; Streptophyta; Magnoliopsida; Solanales; Solanaceae
Exons: 2
Source: RefSeq, a predicted model, not a curated record
CAUGACUAGACAGAAAUUACUUCAAUUUCUCAUGGAUUGAAUGACAAUUAUAGACAAGCACGGAGUCAAAUACUCAUGAUGAACCCAUCCCCUAGUGUGAACCAGUGCUAUGCCAUAAUUAUUCAGGAUGAAAGUCAACGUGCAUUAAGUGGAGGAUAAUAUGGAACCGUACUUUCUUUGGUGACAACUUCUUUUGGGUCUGGAAGUCGCUUGUAGUGGUUGUCUUGACAAAAAAUGAACUGUUAAGCGGCCUCCAGAGGGAAUUGAUCCUAUUGCAUUAUUCACAAAUAGAUCCGGAGGAAAUGGUAUGGGGACUCAAGAAUCUCGGGGUCAAGGAUCUAGUAGCAAUGGCGGUCAGUUUCAAAGACAAUACAACUGAGGUGUUCUGUACUGUGACUUUUGUGAUAUGAAAGGUCAUAGGUAAGGCCAAUUAUAACAAGUUGAAACAUUGCACUCAUUGUAACAAGCAGGGUCAUACAAGGGGCAUUUGCUAUCAGUUGAUAGGCUACCCCGCAGAUUACAAAGGAAAGAAGAGGGCAAAUGUUGUUACUGCACCAUAAAUGGGAGCUCCUAGUACAAAUGGACAAAUAGGUUAUCAAAUGUCGUUUGCAGGUGAAGGAAGUGAACACUUUAAUUCUCACAAGCCAAUUGCAGGUAGUAGCAAUGGACACAUUCAUGGAUCAAGUGAAAACAUGAAUAUAUCACAACCUAUUCCACAACCAAAUUUUGGACAUAAUGGAUCAGUUCCAUACUUCACUCCAACUCAAUAUAAUCAGAUCCUUUAGAUGUUGAAUAAACCCAUGUUGAGUGAAUUCAGUGCUAAUGUAGCAGGAUCUCUUCACUGGGAGAGUGAAGGAUAUUGGUGAAGUGAUUGAUGGUUUGUACAUCCUGCGAUCACACAAGCAUUUAGAGUCUAAGGAAAAAAGAUCUUUUGCAGCCACAAAAGGACAUGGUGAAGUUGAGAUAUAACAUAAGAGAUUAGGACACGUGCCUAUGGGUGUUCUUAGAAAAAUUACUUCUCCGGGCAAUAACAAUUUUGUAUUACCUAAUUGUGAUGUUUGUCCAUUAGCAAGACAAGUUACAUUACCAUUUUCUACUAGUCAUAGUAGAAAUACUAAAUGUUUUGAAUUGAUUCAUUUAGAUGUAUGGGGACCAUAUAAGAUUGCUACACAUAAUAAAAUG